UGACUCAGUGGUAGAGUGCUUGCCUUGCAUGCAUGAGGCUCUGGGUUCGAUUCCUCAG
This 58-nucleotide transfer RNA is filed under the name Dipodomys ordii (Ord's kangaroo rat). It matches the Rfam family "tRNA", at positions 8 to 63 of the family's 71-position model. Rfam says of the family: Transfer RNA (tRNA) molecules are approximately 80 nucleotides in length. Their secondary structure includes four short double-helical elements and three loops (D, anti-codon, and T loops). Lineage: Eukaryota; Metazoa; Chordata; Mammalia; Rodentia; Heteromyidae. The record is from Rfam by way of RNAcentral.